This 19-nucleotide unclassified non-coding RNA is filed under the name Chlamydomonas reinhardtii. RNAcentral describes it as "small RNA Cre_1636". Lineage: Eukaryota; Viridiplantae; Chlorophyta; Chlorophyceae; Chlamydomonadales; Chlamydomonadaceae. The record is from RNAcentral.
GAUGCGGAGGGCCUGCUGG